Molecule: long non-coding RNA, 516 nt
Filed under: Elaeis guineensis (African oil palm)
Lineage: Eukaryota; Viridiplantae; Streptophyta; Magnoliopsida; Arecales; Arecaceae
Description: long non-coding RNA (EGUI_LNC000063)
Source: RNAcentral
CAGCUGCUCAUUGAUACUUACGUUUCAAGAAGUAUUGCCACCACAUUCAUCAGCACCGGUACCAUGUGAUGUAGGACUAUGGGGUGGAGGCAGCGCGACAGCAGCUGUAUGACAGCAUCACUAUGGAUGAAUGGACUCUUGUAUGCCGGCAUUAUGAGGAUCCAGCAUAUCAAAUUACACAUCCAAAUUUUUUUUUAUAGUUUAAUGAUUGAAUCAUUUAUUCUUAAAUUCAGUUUAUUACCAACUAAUUUGACUACUAACUGUACAGAGAUGAUGUGUCCAGAACACUGCGAAUCGGGUAAGACAGAUCGUAUCACAUUGUAGGGGUUCGAGGUCGUUCGCUCGUCAUAUGGAGUAGAUGGUAAGUAAUUUUUAAUUAACAUAUUUUAACUCUAACUAUUUAAAAUUUUUUUAAUUAAUUGUUCUCAAAUCGCAGAGAGAUGUAGAGAGUGACGAGCUUUCUAAUAGAAUUGAUAUCUACCAGUGGAUCCACCAGCAACGGUCAGGAGAGUAGAC